CAGCAGCCGCGGUAAUACGUAGGUGGCAAGCGUUGUCCGGAAUUAUUGGGCGUAAAGGGCACGCAGGCGGUCUCUUAAGUCUGAUGUGAAAGCCCCCGGCUCAACCGGGGCGGGUCAUUGGAAACUGGGAAACUUGAGUGCAGAAGAGGAGAGUGGAAUUCCACGUGUAGCGGUGAAAUGCGUAGAGAUGUGGAGGAACACCAGUGGCGAAGGCGACUCUCUGGUCUGUAACUGACGCUGAGGAGCGAAAGCGUGGGGAGCGAACAGGAUUAGAUACCCCCGUAGUCCCUGUCUCUUAUAA
Molecule: ribosomal RNA, 301 nt
Filed under: uncultured bacterium
Lineage: Bacteria
Description: partial 16S ribosomal RNA
Rfam family: Bacterial small subunit ribosomal RNA
Source: RNAcentral